AUUCCAGCUCCAAUAGCGUAUAUUAAUGUUGUUGCAGUUAAAAAGCUCGUAGUUGGAUUUCUGGUUGGACCGCGAUGCCGGACUCGCAAGGGUUCGUGAUUGUUGUGGUUUCCUUCCAUCCUCAGGUUUGCGCGUGCUGGCCUUAACUGGUCGGUGGGUGUGGUCCUGUCGUUUACUGUGAACAAAUUAGAGUGUUCAAAGCAAGGUGUACUUGAAUACAUUAGCAUGGAAUAAUAAGAUAGGACUUUGGUGGUUCUUUUUGAUAUUUUGUUGGUCUGCACGCCAAGGUAAUGAUUAACAGGGACAGUCAGGGGCACUCGUAUUCCGCCGAGAGAGGUGAAAUUCUCAGACCAGCGGAAGACGAACCACUGCGAAAGCAUUUGCCAGGGAUGUUUUCAUCG
RNAcentral lists this ribosomal RNA (401 nucleotides) under Eukaryota sp. RNAcentral's name for it is "partial small subunit ribosomal RNA". It matches the Rfam family "Eukaryotic small subunit ribosomal RNA", at positions 582 to 975 of the family's 1831-position model. The record is from RNAcentral.